RNAcentral lists this ribosomal RNA (679 nucleotides) under Lodderomyces orthopsilosis. Its description in RNAcentral is "eukaryotic LSU rRNA". The stretch from base 407 to 679 matches the Rfam family "Eukaryotic large subunit ribosomal RNA", at positions 1 to 270 of the family's 3401-position model. Lineage: Eukaryota; Fungi; Ascomycota; Pichiomycetes; Serinales; Debaryomycetaceae. The record is from RNAcentral.
ACUGCAUUUUUUUACACAUGUGUUUUUCUUUUUUUUUGAAACUUUGCUUUGGUGGGCCCAUGGCCUGGCAGAAAUUAAACUCAACCAAAUUUUAUUUAAGUCAACUGAUUAACUAAAAGUCAAAACUUUCAACAACGGAUCUCUUGGGUCUCGCAUCGAUGAAAAACGCAGCGAAAUGCGAUAAGUAAUAUGAAUUGCAGAUAUUCGUGAAUCAUCGAAUCUUUGAACGCACAUUGCGCCCUUUGGGAUUCCAAAGGGGAUGCCUGUUUGAGCGUCAUUUCUCCCUCAAACCUUCGGGUUUGGGGUUGAGCGAUACGCUGGGUUUGCUUGAAAGAAAGGCGGAGUAUAAACUAAUGGAUAGGUUUUUUUCCACUCCUUGGUACAAACUCCAAAAUUCUUCCAAAUUCGACCUCAAAUCAGGUAGGACUACCCGCUGAACUUAAGCAUAUCAAUAAGCGGAGGAGAAGAAACCAACAGGGAUUGCCUUAUUAGCGGCGAGUGAAGCGGCAAAAGCUCAAAUUUGAAAUCUGGCGCUUUCAGUGUCCGAGUUGUAAUUUGAAGAAGGUAUCUUUGGGGCUGGCGCUUGUCUAUGUUUCUUGGAGCAGAACGUCACAGAGGGUGAGAAUCCCGUGCGAUGAGAUGUCCCACACCUAUGUAAAGUUCCUUCGAAGAGUCGAGU